Molecule: long non-coding RNA, 1466 nt
Organism: Ictalurus punctatus (channel catfish)
Lineage: Eukaryota; Metazoa; Chordata; Actinopteri; Siluriformes; Ictaluridae
Source: Ensembl
AACUUAACCUGCAUCUUUCUCGCAGCAAGACAGCCGUCCAAUGAACAGCCCUUCCUCCACACAUCUCUUCUUCCUUUCUUCCUUCCUAAACAACUUCCUUUCAGCUGCUUGUCUUUGAAUCCGGGCUACGCUUCACAUCUGGCAAAAAACAAUCCCGAGCGGUUUAAACAAGAACAACAAGAAGCAGCACGAUGCUCUUGAUACGAUAUCAAGCUACGAGCAUAGAUGCUUGCGAAUAUAUCUGCUGGAGAGACAUGGCGGGAGCUUUAAGGAGGAGGCUGAGGUGAAAAUCACAGCAUGGCCCAAGGCGAGCAACACCACAACACACGGAAACAUUUUGCCCCCUGAUCUCUGCACCCUCAGAAGGAGUGGUGGGAUGCUCCAGGGCAAGGACGGCUCUGCAGGAGGAAAAAGUUCAAAAAGAGAAGAUAAAAAAACAAAAACAAUCCAACCACAAUAUUACAUUCCUAAACAGGAAGUCUCUCUGAAGAAAUAUUCAUUGAACAGCAUGAAUGUGCAUAAAAUGAUACACAGAAAGAAAGCAAGAAAGCAGAAUAUCAUUCGGAGUUGGUCUGAAGAGAUCCCUUCUGCUGGAGUACCACAUUCCUGGUGAGGUUUCAGUGGCAUCACCUGGGUUCUGUAAGACCAACUGUGAAAUCUGACUCGGUCUGAAGGUAUAGAUCUUCACAAUAUGAGAAACAUUGAAAUGCUCGAAGAUUGCAAUAAUCUCAAGUGGAAACAGAAACCGUUGAUAUUUUCAGCUUGGCUCUGGACUGAAUUGUAGGCGCUGCCAGCUGAAUCUCACUACUGCUAAUCACAGAAAAGGAUGGAAAGGUGCCGCUACAGAAUCCCGAGCAUUGCGCAACUUCUCCAGCCGCAGUGCUGUGGGCUAUGUCUUCGAGUUUAAUGGGGCCGUGAUAACUAUCAAAUGGACAUGGAUUACACACUAUAUCAUUAUACACACCAUUGAUUUUGCCCUUGCUUUGCCAGACAAGCAAUAUUAUAUGUCCAAAAUGACCUUGUACAGAAAUGCAAGCAGUGGUGUAGGUCCAAGACAGGCUUAGCAGUGUGUUCUGUGCAUACUAUUGCCAAGCCGUCUGAAACAUCAUUGGUAGACAUUGUACUGUAUGUUUUAAGGACCGCAAUAAGAAAUGAAUAGCGCUAUUAACAAAAAGGAAUAACUGAUGACUUUUGUGAGAGUAAGUGUUUUGACAUUAGAAAAAAAAAGCAGGCUUAUGAGCUGUUAGGUUUCACUUGUCAUCAAAACCGUUCAAUGCCAAGGAUCUCUAGAGUAUGUUAAUUCUUUGGCAGUCACUUAAUUACACAUUUUACUGCUUUGCUGUCACAAGUUAGGGUUAGAAGAGGUUUCGAGGGGAAGGUAGAGCAGAUGUUUUUGUCUUCAAUCCAAUAAGUUGCACUAAGAAUUCUUUGUAUGGAUUUAGGACACUGAUUUCUCUAUAACUGUA